CUUACAUCUCUUCGGAGCAUUUUACGAGGUGCUGCAUGGUUGUCGUCAGCUCGUGCCGUGAGGUGUCGGGUUAAGUCCCAUAACGAGCGCAACCCUACCUUUAGUUGCCAUCAGGUAAUGCUGGGGACUCUAAAGGAACUGCCUACGCAAGUAGUGAGGAAGGCGGGGAGUGACGUCAAAUCAGCACGGCCCUUACGUCCAGGGCUACACACGUGCUACAAUGGCCGAUACAGAGGGCAGCUACCUGGUGACAGGAUGCAAAUCUCCAAAGUCGGUCUCAGUUCGGAUCGGAGUCUGCAACCCGACUCCGUGAAGUUGGAUUCGCUAGUAAUCGCGCAUCAGCCAUGGCGCGGUGAAUACGUUCCCGGGCCUU
This 373-nucleotide ribosomal RNA is filed under the name uncultured Sphingobacteriales bacterium. RNAcentral's name for it is "bacterial SSU rRNA". It matches the Rfam family "Bacterial small subunit ribosomal RNA", at positions 1008 to 1382 of the family's 1533-position model. The record is from RNAcentral. Lineage: Bacteria; Pseudomonadati; Bacteroidota; Sphingobacteriia; Sphingobacteriales.